Parasteatoda tepidariorum (common house spider) is the source of this 621-nucleotide non-coding RNA. Lineage: Eukaryota; Metazoa; Arthropoda; Arachnida; Araneae; Theridiidae. The record is from RefSeq and is a predicted model, not a curated record.
AAGCUGUGCUCUCUUUAUUAUGAUAAGAUCAUAAAUAAUAUUUAUUUUAAUCUGAAAUUAUGCCAAUAUAUGUUUUGGUCUAAGAUUACGCCACUGUAAUAUUCUAGAACUCAAGAGGUAGCCAACAUUAGAAAGUAUCAAAUUUUUCAAAGCAUAAUUUUUUUACUACUUAUAGCAUCACUACAAAUUGUUAUGUAUCGUAACAGUAGUCCGGAUUGAGUUGAUUUUAAUUUAUUACAUAAUUGUAUUAUAAUUAAUAGAUUGAUUUAUUAAAAAUUAAUAAUUACAACCAAUUACGCAUUAAUUUUCAGGUGACCUUUGGGAGCCCAUCUGAAGGAGAAUUACAGAAAGGUGACAUAAUCCUACGAAUAAGAGACACUGAUGCAACACGUUUAUCACAUAAAGGAGCCACCGAUCUUAUCUCAAAAGCUGGCAGCACAUUAAAAAUUGUAGUUGCCAGAAAUGCUUCUGGCAUGCAAAUACCUGCAUCACCCACACCUCAACUUUCAACCAUGCCAUCUGGAGGAAAUCCAUUUAUUUACAAACCACUGCCAACAACAAAUUUCGCAGCACAAAGGCAAAGGAGAUCUUCGGUAGAAUCAUUCACCAGCACAACCAGUA